Molecule: ribosomal RNA, 472 nt
Filed under: uncultured organism
Description: partial 16S ribosomal RNA
Rfam family: Bacterial small subunit ribosomal RNA
Source: RNAcentral
UACACUCCUGCGGGAGGCAGCAGUGGGGAAUUUUGGACAAUGGGCGAAAGCCUGAUCCAGCAAUGCCGCGUGAGUGAAGAAGGCCUUCGGGUUGUAAAGCUCUUUUGUCAGGGAAGAAACGGUGAGAGCUAAUAUCUUUUGCUAAUGACGGUACCUGAAGAAUAAGCACCGGCUAACUACGUGCCAGCAGCCGCGGUAAUACGUAGGGUGCAAGCGUUAAUCGGAAUUACUGGGCGUAAAGCGUGCGCAGGCGGUUUUGUAAGUCUGAUGUGAAAUCCCCGGGCUCAACCUGGGAAUUGCAUUGGAGACUGCAAGGCUAGAAUCUGGCAGAGGGGGGUAGAAUUCCACGUGUAGCAGUGAAAUGCGGAGAUAUGUGGAGGAACACCGAUGGCGAAGGCAGCCCCCUGGGUCAAGAUUGACGCUCAUGCACGAAAGCGUGGGGAGCAAACAAGAUUAGAAACCCUUGUAGUCC